Molecule: long non-coding RNA, 430 nt
Organism: Hirundo rustica (Barn swallow)
Lineage: Eukaryota; Metazoa; Chordata; Aves; Passeriformes; Hirundinidae
Exons: 3
Source: RefSeq, a predicted model, not a curated record
CCCAGCCCUUUUCACUCAUUUCCUCUGGAAGAAGAGCUAAAUGAAUUGGGAUUUGGAAAGGCUGCACAGGUGCUUGGAGACGGGAAGAGGCAUGAAGGCUUCCUUGGACACAAACAGCUUCUGAGGGAGAAGACUGAGUGAGGAGCCUGCUGAGCCUACCCUGGCACUGUGGAGGAUCUGGGAGAGCUCCAGCCCUGCUGAAGCUGAGCCCCCUGGGCAGCGCCAUGGACUCUCCCCACCUCUUGCUCUUGGGUUUCCUGAUCCUGGACCUUGCUGCUCCCCAUCCAAGUAUUGCCAUGUCCACUGUUGUCCCUGUUGAAGGGACAGAAGACUCUUCCCCUGGCAGCACAACUGUGACGGUCUACCACUGUAAGGACUGUAACAGCAGCACAUGCAAGUCUAAGGCAAAAAGUUUUGAAAACUUCCAAAA